CGAGGCGGGCGUAGCAAUACGUCAGCGGCAGACGGGUGAGUAACGCGUGGGAACGUACCUUUUGGUUCGGAACAACACAGGGAAACUUGUGCUAAUACCGGAUAAGCCCUUACGGGGGAAAGAUUUAUCGCCGAAAGAUCGGCCCGCGUCUGAUUAGCUAGUUGGUGAGGUAACGGCUCACCAAGGCGACGAUCAGUAGCUGGUCUGAGAGGAUGAUCAGCCACAUUGGGACUGAGACACGGCCCAAACUCCUACGGGAGGCAGCAGUGGGGAAUAUUGGACAAUGGGCGCAAGCCUGAUCCAGCCAUGCCGCGUGAGUGAUGAAGGCCCUAGGGUUGUAAAGCUCUUUUGUGCGGGAAGAUAAUGACGGUACCGCAAGAAUAAGCCCCGGCUAACUUCGUG
RNAcentral lists this ribosomal RNA (402 nucleotides) under uncultured bacterium. RNAcentral's name for it is "bacterial SSU rRNA". It matches the Rfam family "Bacterial small subunit ribosomal RNA", at positions 63 to 507 of the family's 1533-position model. The record is from RNAcentral.